This is a long non-coding RNA of Mauremys reevesii (Reeves's turtle), 1505 nucleotides long. RefSeq lists it as uncharacterized. The record is from RefSeq and is a predicted model, not a curated record. Lineage: Eukaryota; Metazoa; Chordata; Testudines; Geoemydidae. The transcript is spliced from 4 exons.
GUUUAACUGACUUGAAUGGAGCUAUGGCAGCUUAUACCAGCUGAAGAUCUGCUCCUAGAUGUCCAUAAUGGAGCACAUGGAGGGAUGGCUGCAUGUGUCAAAAUAAUGCGGAGCAAAGUUUUAUAUCCAGGGGUUCGACUGCUGAGGUAACUGAGCUUCACAAAGCUAGACGGAAUUGGGAUUUCCUCCUGGACCACCUAGAAGAACCCAACAGUUGUACACACUGUUAUUAAUGAUAUUCAUGCCUAGGAAAAGGGCAACGUUUUGUAUUUCAAAUCAUGAUGUUUUCUAAGAAACCUAGGCACCGCCUCUGCCAGGCACAUUGUGGUCAGGAAAAAUGCAAAAUCUUCAGCAUCAUCCAAAGCAGUGCAGUGUCUGAAAGAUCACACAGGUGGAAAACAGGAUCCUCCAAAUGUUGUCAGAGGUGAAGGGAGUACAACUGGAUUUGGGCUGAUAAAGCUAGUGAUGUCACAAGAUGGUGGGUUCGACUCUGUUCUUUGCAUGACAACUUUUUCUACUACAAUAAACCUAUUCCAAGGCAACCAAAGUGCCCUUUUCUCAGAAAUGAAAGGAGAUCUGUCAAAGACCAGGGUGACAGAGAUACCUCCAAUAGCCACAAGGUCAAAACUGAAGAGACAAAACAAAACACAUUGUCUUAUACUGUUUCCUUUACAACAGUAACACAGCUUGCAACAAAUGACUACCAAAAAUCCCACAUGGAACCCCAUUAUAACUAUUAAUUUGCUAUGUGAAACAACUCCAAUAUUAUCUUUCUAUUUCCAACUGUGAGGCCAGGUAGUGCUUUCGCUCUAUGCCUACUCCAAGCAUUCAUCACAUGUAAGGUGAGAUACUUCACUGCAAUUUGUCCACUCUUCCUCUGGUGUUUACCUACUAAAAGCACUCACAGUUAACAACUGUGUGGAACCAAUCACUCCUGGCCUGUAUGUGAAGAAACUCCUAAACCAUAAAAUGACUGCUACUCAGAUUGUGUGUGUGCCCAGCAUGUGACGUAGCUGACUUGGGGCCUCACAAUCGCCUCAUUCUCCAAAAUGCCCAUUUUUCCUGUUCUGCGAGUAGUAAGAUGAAGAGUUGGAGUAAACUCAAGAAACAUGUGGGGUUGCAGCCCUACUGUUCAGUGUGUGGACAUUUUGGGAAAGCUUCCCAUUAAUUUCAGUGAGAACUGAAUCAGCUCCUGGAUGUGGUGCAAUGGCAGGCUACUACAAGAUAUACUCAAGGAGCAACUGUGAAUAACUCUGUGCAGAUUUGCACCCUAAGAUGGCGUGAGACAGAAAGCAAGGUACAUAGUGUCUCAGUUUUCCAAGAUUCUGACAUCUACAGCCAGGUCAUAUAAGCCACUUUGAAACAUCAGGAUCAAAUAAAGCAGUUGAAAAAAAGCAGCUAAAAAAAGUUGCAGUCCACCUCUACCCACUUAAAAGUGCAGUUUUAGUUUGUUCAGUAUUAUGGCAGUGCACAUCUUUGUAUAAGACAACACUUAAUAUUUUCAU